This is a non-coding RNA of Pelecanus crispus (Dalmatian pelican), 46 nucleotides long. Lineage: Eukaryota; Metazoa; Chordata; Aves; Pelecaniformes; Pelecanidae. The record is from Rfam.
CAAAAGGUUUUUUUAAAAACUACUAUUAUUUUUCUGAAACUUGCAA